CUUCCACUGUGGGCUGCCUCGCUCAGCUCUUUCUCAGCUAGUCCCUCCUCAUCUUCGUUCCCACCGGGCGAGAGAAACCACCUGAGUCCCAGGCUCAGAGGCCGCUAAGGGGAAGGAGCCUCCAGGUGGCAGCAGGCCCAGCCUCUGCCUGUGCCCUGUGCAGGGCACCAGGCCUAGUACAGCAUAGGCCUCCCGAGGCUGUGUGGCAGGUAAGGUGCAGGCGGACUGGAGCUCAGGACUGGUGUCUGCAGAGGCUGCGCCUAGUGUGACACGGAGGCCGAGGCUCUGGGAGGUACAGGAGACGAUGCUGUGCAGGGAGGAGAGGUGCCUCUCUCUCGUGGGGCCAGGGAGAACCAGGACGAGAGUGUGGCUGCUGUCUUGGCUCUGAGAGAGCGAGGGCAACAGCACAAAGGCACCAGGAGACAGAGACCUUGAGCUGCACGCUGCACAGAAACUGGAGCCGGGAGCUCAGAAGGCGCGUCCUCGGGGCUGGGCAGGUGCCCCACAGCGACAGCUGCCAGCUGCCCAGAGAGCCGGAACACAACAGGAAGCUAGACUCAAGAGGAAUCUCUGUGCUGGCCAUUCCUGGCAGCAGGCAGCUGUGCUUCUCUUCCACCGAAUGAGGAUGCUAAGCAACCGCCUCUGGGAGUCUGUGACCUGCAGCAUGCAGAGCCUACUGGCACCCUGGGCACGCUCUGUCUCCCAGGAGGCAGCCAUGACCAGUUCCUAUUUUACAGUCGAGGAAAUGUAAGCUCCAAGGCUGUGACUUGUCUGCACCACACAACGAGACAGUGACUAUCGAGGGCUCGGCCGACUGUCCCACCUCUGUUCUGCUCCAGGGUGACAGAUGGCGCCACCUGCUACAGCUUGGCAUCCCGAGAAGGCUCUAGAAAGGUGCUGCCAGAGCCCUGCUCCACACCAGCGAAUGGGCUGUCACAGAGGCCUGGUGGGCAUCUUUCAAAGCCCUCCCUGUGGCCCCAGCCCCUUCCCAGUGACUGUGUGGCCCCCUUCUAGGCAGUGAGGCAUCCUGGGAACCCUGAGCAAGGCUCCCCUGCUCCUCAGAAAGAAACACUAGAGAGAAGCGCUCCCCUCUUUAGCUGCGUAUGCCGGUUGGGACUCCGGGGACUGCCCUGCCACAUCACUUCCAGUCCCGAAGGAAGACAGUGCAAGGGCGCAAUCCCCAGAGAAGAGAGAUGGAGGAGAUUCCCUCACCUCGAGACCCCCGCCCCAGCUCCCCUGUGGUUUGGGGUAGACAGUUCCUGGCUGGCUGAAUCAGUGCAAGGGGGCAUUUGUUAUCCACAACAGAAAGCCUGAGGCAACAGCUGAGAAUUCAGAACUCGGAAAAUUCAAAAUUAAGGAAACAUAAUGCCUGGCCAGUACUAUGGCUGUAAUCCCAGCACUCUGGGAGGCUGAGACAGGAGGACUGCAAGUUCACAGCCAGCCUAGGCUACAUAGCAAGUUCAAG
RNAcentral lists this long non-coding RNA (1465 nucleotides) under Heterocephalus glaber (naked mole-rat). Its description in RNAcentral is "lncRNA (ENSHGLG00100028706.2)". The record is from RNAcentral. Lineage: Eukaryota; Metazoa; Chordata; Mammalia; Rodentia; Bathyergidae.